This 253-nucleotide ribosomal RNA is filed under the name uncultured bacterium. RNAcentral's name for it is "partial 16S ribosomal RNA". It matches the Rfam family "Bacterial small subunit ribosomal RNA", at positions 524 to 776 of the family's 1533-position model. The record is from RNAcentral.
UACGAAGGGGGCUAGCGUUGCUCGGAAUCACUGGGCGUAAAGGGUGCGUAGGCGGGUCUUUAAGUCAGAGGUGAAAUCCUGGAGCUCAACUCCAGAACCGCCUUUGAUACUGAGGAUCUUGAGUACGGGAGAGGUGAGUGGAACUGCGAGUGUAGAGGUGAAAUUCGUAGAUAUUCGCAAGAACACCAGUGGCGAAGGCGGCUCACUGGCCCGAUACUGACGCUGAGGUGCGAAAGCGUGGGGAGCAAACAGG